UACGUAGGUGGCAAGCGUUGUCCGGAUUUACUGGGCGUAAAGGGCGUGCAGGCGGUUUGUUAAGUCUCGGGUGAAAGCUCCCGGCUCAACUGGGAGAGGUCCUUGGAUACUGGCGAACUUGAGGGAUGCAGAGGAAAGUGGAAUUCCCGGUGUAGUGGUGAUAUGCGUAGAUAUCGGGAGGAACACCAGUGGCGAAGGCGGCUUUCUGGGCAUUUCCUGACGCUGAGACGCGAAAGCGUGGGGAGCGAACCGG
RNAcentral lists this ribosomal RNA (253 nucleotides) under uncultured bacterium. Its description in RNAcentral is "partial 16S ribosomal RNA". It matches the Rfam family "Bacterial small subunit ribosomal RNA", at positions 524 to 776 of the family's 1533-position model. The record is from RNAcentral.